AAUCGCGCCUCAGCACAGUUCAGGCACCUAAUGUGAGUUAGCCCUCACAUGGUUGCCCACUGAAGCCAAGCAGGGCUGCUGUUGGUCAGUACCUGGAUGGAGGACCACAUUGGAAAGCUUGGUUACUGUGGUUA
RNAcentral lists this ribosomal RNA (134 nucleotides) under Danio rerio (zebrafish). The record is from RNAcentral. Lineage: Eukaryota; Metazoa; Chordata; Actinopteri; Cypriniformes; Danionidae.